GCCAGGCAUGGUGGUGCAUGCCUGUAGUCUCAGCUACUCGGGAGGCUGAGGCAGGAGAAUUGCUUGAACCCAGGAGGCGGAGGUUGCAGUGAGCCGAGAUCGUGCCACUGCACUCCAGCCUGGGUGACAAAGCGAGAUUCCGUCUUAA
RNAcentral lists this non-coding RNA (148 nucleotides) under Pan troglodytes (chimpanzee). Lineage: Eukaryota; Metazoa; Chordata; Mammalia; Primates; Hominidae. The record is from Rfam by way of RNAcentral.